AGAACGAACGCUGGCGGCAUGCCUAAUACAUGCAAGUCGAACGAACUCUUCGGAGUUAGUGGCGCACGGGUGCGUAACGCGUGGGAAUCUGCCCCUUGGUUCGGAAUAACAGUUGGAAACGACUGCUAAUACCGGAUGAUGACGAAAGUCCAAAGAUUUAUCGCCAAGGGAUGAGCCCGCGUAGGAUUAGCUAGUUGGUGAGGUAAAGGCUCGCCAAGGCAACGAUCCUUAGCUGGUCUGAGAGGAUGAUCAGCCACACUGGGACUGAGACACGGCCCAGACUCCUACGGGAGGCAGCAGUAGGGAAUAUUGGACAAUGGGCGAAAGCCUGAUCCAGCAAUGCCGCGGGAGUGAUGAAGGCCUUAGGGUUGUAAAGCUCUUUACCCGAGAUGAUAAUGACAGUAUCGGGAGAAUAAGCCCCGCUAACUCCGUGCCAGCAGCCGC
This 444-nucleotide ribosomal RNA is filed under the name uncultured soil bacterium. RNAcentral describes it as "bacterial SSU rRNA". It matches the Rfam family "Bacterial small subunit ribosomal RNA", at positions 26 to 518 of the family's 1533-position model. The record is from RNAcentral.